UUACCCGGUAGACGUGGCAGGGGGAGGGUGUAUGUGUCGCUGCUCUGUGGCCUUCAGUGCAAUAGUUAUCACACACACACGCACAUACACACGCACACACGCACAUACAUCAAGUGCCGCCUCGCUACGUGUGAGAAAUAGUGCGUGUGCGUGUGAGUGUGUGUGUGUGUGUGUGUGUGUGUGUGUUUUCCUUCUUUCCUUUCUAAUUCCGCCCCCUCUCUCUCUCUCUCUCUCUCUCUCUCUCUCUCUCUCUCUCUCUCUCUCUCUCUCUCUCUCUCUCUCUCUCUCUCUCUCUCUCUCUCUCUCUCUCUCUCUCUCUCUCUCUCUCUCUCUCUCUCUCUCAAUAUGAAACCAAGAUCGCAUAGACUGAGUGACCUUAUAUCAUGGGUGUGUGUGCCCGUGACCUUGUUCCUCUACCUGCACCUCGUCCUCACGCCCUCAGACCCCCUUACCACCACCACCACCACCACCACUACGAGUCAAGUCCCGCCCCCUCUUAAUCUGACCUCUCUCGCGCGCCCUGACCUCCUGCUGGUGACCCCGAUCCUGCGCAGCGCCUCCACCACUCUCAUGCACCUCCUGAGGCUCCUUGCACCCCACAGAGGCUUCAGCUUCACGCCUAGACAGAGAAGAAGGGCAGAAUUUGUGCAUAUACCAGAUCCAAAAAUACAGGAAGAAAUUGUGAAGAACCUCUCUAUGACGCCCACACCUGCAGCAUAUAUGGAAUCCUUCGCUUUAAUUAACUUCACCAGGUACGGCCACACCCCCCGGUACGUGUGUCAGUGGUACGAGACCCAGUUGAGAGAGCCAUCAGUCGCUUCUACCACGCUCGCGCGCCGUUUGUCUUGGUGGAGAGGCAGCAGCUGUACCCCGGCGCCCGUCUGCCCUCCAGGAACUAUCUGAAGAAGGACCUUGAAACGUGCUUGGCGAAUCCACGAGACAUAGAAUGCAAGUAUGUAGCGGGCAGCAAGACCCUGGGGCACACCACUGAGUUCUUUUGCGGCCACCACGAUUACUGCCCAGUCUUCGGUGACAGAGAGGGGCUGGCGGCGGCGAAGGAGGGCGUGGAGAGGGGCUGGGCUGUGGUGGGGGUGCUGGAGGAGUGGAGCAAGACCCUGGAAGUCCUUGAAAAUUAUGUACCAAGAUUCUUCAGUGGAGCAAAACAGCUUUAUUAUGGGCACAUCCAUCGUAACAAGACCUUAAGGAAUGAAAAUUUCUACAGACCUAACGUGGAGGAGGCGGCGAAGGAGGCGCUGAAGAAGGUGUUUGAAGUAGAAUAUGAGUUUUAUCAGUUUGUGAAGCAGCGACUUGAUAAACAAUACCACGCCCUUGCCAAUGUGGGGGUGUAAAGUGCGGGCAAGGCGUGGGCAAGGCGUGUGUGGUAUAAAUUUUUCACCUCUAUGCUGUCCACCUUCGUAAUGCAAGAGUUAACCAGUAUUCUCAGUCUUUCACCACUAUUCUGUCCACCUCCCUAAUGCAAGAGUUAACCAGUAUUCUCAGUCUUUCACCACUAUUCUGUCCACCUCCCCUAAUGCAAGAGUUAACCAGUAUUCUCAGUCUUUCACCACUAUUCUGUCCACCUCCCUAAUGCAAGAGUUAACCAGUAUUCUCAGUCUUUCACCACUAUUCUGUCCACCUCCCUAAUGCAAGAGUGUGUAUGUGUGUGUGUGUGUGUGUGUGUGUGGUUAACUUAAUGGUGUCAAGUUGUGUAAAUAUUUGUAUUGUGCAUUAAAAUUAGCUUUUUUUCAA
Long non-coding RNA from Scylla paramamosain (green mud crab), 1749 nucleotides. RefSeq lists it as uncharacterized. Lineage: Eukaryota; Metazoa; Arthropoda; Malacostraca; Decapoda; Portunidae. The record is from RefSeq and is a predicted model, not a curated record. The transcript has 8 exons.